This 30-nucleotide non-coding RNA is filed under the name Rattus norvegicus (Norway rat). Lineage: Eukaryota; Metazoa; Chordata; Mammalia; Rodentia; Muridae. The record is from RNAcentral.
CCCACCAUUGAAUGAACAGACCCCAGAUGU